CUACGGGGUGCUGCAGUGGGGAAUAUUGGACAAUGGGCGAAAGCCUGAUCCAGCCAUGCCGCGUGUGUGAAGAAGGCCUUCGGGUUGUAAAGCACUUUCAGUGGGGAAGAAAGCCUUGGGGCUAAUACCCUCGAGGAAGGACAUCACCCACAGAAGAAGCACCGGCUAACUCCGUGCCAGCAGCCGCGGUAAUACGGAGGGUGCGAGCGUUAAUCGGAAUUACUGGGCGUAAAGCGCGCGUAGGCGGUCUGAUAAGCCGGUUGUGAAAGCCCCGGGCUCAACCUGGGAACGGCAUCCGGAACUGUCAGGCUAGAGUGCAGGAGAGGAAGGUAGAAUUCCCGGUGUAGCGGUGAAAUGCGUAGAGAUCGGGAGGAAUACCAGUGGCGAAGGCGGCCUUCUGGACUGACACUGACGCUGAGGUGCGAAAGCGUGGGUAGCAAACAGGAUUAGAUACCCGAGUAGUC
RNAcentral lists this ribosomal RNA (464 nucleotides) under Vreelandella stevensii. RNAcentral's name for it is "partial 16S ribosomal RNA". It matches the Rfam family "Bacterial small subunit ribosomal RNA", at positions 339 to 795 of the family's 1533-position model. The record is from RNAcentral. Lineage: Bacteria; Pseudomonadati; Pseudomonadota; Gammaproteobacteria; Oceanospirillales; Halomonadaceae.